AAAAAAAAUUGAAAUAAAUUAGGAAAAAAUAUGGUAAGAAAGUAGAGAUGACAUACAUCAUUCUGAUAUAGAACAUGUUCAAAUAUUUGAGCGUUUGGGCACUAAAAAAAUAAAAAAAAAUGCGGAACCCGUUAAGGCCCGUUAAAAAAAUGCGGAACAUGUUAAAAAAAUGCGGAACCCGUUAAAAAAAUGCGGAACAUGUUCAAAUGUUCAAAAAAAAUAUUUGACCUGAUCCACAUGCAACAUUACCCUAUUUGCCACCUCCAUAUGUUGGCUAUAGAUUACCCAACAUGCAAGAUGCUUCCAAUGUGCAGGAUGAAGGAUAUGCAGCAUAUGGUGCAUAUGGCGCAUAUGGGGCCUAUGGAGGCUAUGGCUAUGGCUCAUAUCAACAGGAUGAUUCUGAAGAAUAAACUCCAUGUGGUAUGUAUCGUGUGAACUACUAUGUAUUAUGAACUUUAGCAAUGAUGGUUUGUAAGGACUAUGGUUGUGAUGAUUUGUAUGGACUAUUGUUGUGAUGGUCUAUAUGGAUUGUGGAUGUGAAUUUCUAUUUAUAUGUAUAUGAACUUCUAUUCUAUGUAUGUGUGAAUGUUAUAAAAUUGUUUGAUAUA
Long non-coding RNA from Panicum virgatum (switchgrass), 608 nucleotides. RefSeq lists it as uncharacterized. NCBI's taxonomy places the organism in Eukaryota, Viridiplantae, Streptophyta, Magnoliopsida, Poales, Poaceae. The record is from RefSeq and is a predicted model, not a curated record. The transcript is spliced from 2 exons.